RNAcentral lists this ribosomal RNA (305 nucleotides) under uncultured bacterium. RNAcentral describes it as "bacterial SSU rRNA". It matches the Rfam family "Bacterial small subunit ribosomal RNA", at positions 335 to 658 of the family's 1533-position model. The record is from RNAcentral.
UACCUACGGGGGGCAGCAGUGGGGAAUAUUGCACAAUGGGGGGAACCCUGAUGCAGCGACGCCGCGUGAGUGAAGAAGUAUUUCGGUAUGUAAAGCUCUAUCAGCAGGGAAGAAAAUGACGGUACCUGACUAAGAAGCCCCGGCUAACUACGUGCCAGCAGCCGCGGUAAUACGUAGGGGGCAAGCGUUAUCCGGAUUUACUGGGUGUAAAGGGAGCGUAGACGGCAGAGCAAGUCUGGAGUGAAAGGCCGGGGCCCAACCCCGGGACUGCUCUGGAAACUAUUCAACUUGAGUGCAGGAGAGGG